This 71-nucleotide transfer RNA is filed under the name Aedes aegypti (yellow fever mosquito). It matches the Rfam family "tRNA". Rfam says of the family: Transfer RNA (tRNA) molecules are approximately 80 nucleotides in length. Lineage: Eukaryota; Metazoa; Arthropoda; Insecta; Diptera; Culicidae. The record is from Rfam by way of RNAcentral.
GGCUCAAUAGUUUAGUUGGUAAAGCAUUGUCUAGCAUACAAGAGUCGUGGGUUCGAAUCCCACCUGAGCAU